UCCUGUGUGGCUCAGUUGGUAGAGCAUGGUGUUUGCAACGCCAGGGUUCGAUUCCCACGGGGG
This 63-nucleotide transfer RNA is filed under the name Salmo salar (Atlantic salmon). It matches the Rfam family "tRNA". Rfam says of the family: Transfer RNA (tRNA) molecules are approximately 80 nucleotides in length. Their secondary structure includes four short double-helical elements and three loops (D, anti-codon, and T loops). RNAcentral also lists the same sequence under 1 other name. The record is from Rfam by way of RNAcentral. Lineage: Eukaryota; Metazoa; Chordata; Actinopteri; Salmoniformes; Salmonidae.